UCGCGCGGGCCAAUGGUACUCAGUUGAAACACCAAAGGCGCAAAAAACAUAACUUGAAACUGUGCGGGAUUACGGGCGAGACUCUCUGCUCGUCCCUCCAUCCCCGGGUGUUAUACCAGGCAUGCCGGGGGCCUCGCGCCCUCGGUGCCAUAACAUACCGCGAGUGUGCAGGAUGUGACCCGAAAGAUGGUGAACUAUGCCUGAUCAGGUUGAAGUCAGGGGAAACCCUGAUGGAGGACCGAAGCAGUUCUGACGUGCAAAUCGAUUGUCAGAAUUGGGCAUAGGGGCGAAAGACCAAUCGAACCAUCUAGUAGCUGUUCU
This 321-nucleotide ribosomal RNA is filed under the name Culex quinquefasciatus (southern house mosquito). Its description in RNAcentral is "eukaryotic LSU rRNA". It matches the Rfam family "Eukaryotic large subunit ribosomal RNA", at positions 682 to 958 of the family's 3401-position model. Lineage: Eukaryota; Metazoa; Arthropoda; Insecta; Diptera; Culicidae. The record is from RNAcentral.